Long non-coding RNA from Cucumis sativus (cucumber), 2344 nucleotides. RefSeq lists it as uncharacterized. The transcript is spliced from 2 exons. The record is from RefSeq and is a predicted model, not a curated record. NCBI's taxonomy places the organism in Eukaryota, Viridiplantae, Streptophyta, Magnoliopsida, Cucurbitales, Cucurbitaceae.
GAAAGUGGCACUGUGGAAGUAAGUAAGGGCCAAUCAAUACUCUAACGUCGUUGAUGGGACGAACAGGCAGCACCCUCCAAUCGGCGUAAAUUUCUUCGAUCUUUUUCGGCGGCAAGGUAUUUUCUCUCUCUGUUCAAUCCCUCACAAUCGGAAAUAUUCGACAUUUCUUCCGUAAUUUCAUUCCAUUUACCCGUUUCUGGAUUUUGUAUGGACGAGAAGGUGAAUUUGAUUGGACUCGGUUCAGUGUUCUUGUGGUGGGUGAAAAAAACGUAUGCGAGCUUUCUUCUAUCCCGUUAAUCGACUUUAAUUUCACGCAUUUUGAAGAAGAAAUUCGGCGAUCUUAGCUUUGAUUGGUCGCCUGGUUCUAUUGAUUCAGCUGGAGAAUUCCUUGGCUGUCUUCUUGUGAUGUGAUUAGGAUGACAAUAUGCUCAUGUGGGUUAAUUGUUUCUAUGUGGAUUCAGAUUAUGAACAAGUUUUCUUCCAUAUCAAGGCAUAGGUUCUCCAUGUCAGGCCAUUAUAGAAGCUUGCAGGAAAAUGUUAAGGUGUGACUAGAAAAGUGGAGUGGAGCAUCUUUUACUUGCUUUUUGCUGUAGUUUUCUUUUCCCAACUAGACAAAAUAUUGGCAAUGCAUCUCCAUUCCUCAAAACUUUGCUUAGCUGCGUACUUUGGUGAUAUGUGAAGUAUCAAUAUAUGGCAAAAAGAAAGUUGAUUACACAAGAAUUCAAAGUGGGGGGAUCUCAAUUGGCUCCACCUAUAGUACCUUCCUUUCCUUUACCCUACACCUACAGAAAGGGGCCUUCAGCUACUGCAAUUACCUCAUGCCUUCCACUUACUGUCACUUGCCUUAGAUUUUUAUCUAUCUCAAUCUGGAUUCUUCUACUUUGUCUUUUAUGACUAACAGCUACAUAAAGGAAGAAAAAGGAGUGGUAUUGGAUUAUUUUUUGCGAUGGGCUUCAUUGGCUGUAAGCGGUAUAUUACGUAGGAUUGGUAACAUGCUUGUUGUAGUAUAAAAAUUGAUCAUUGUAAUACUUGGUGCAUGCUGCAUGUUGAGCUGCCUGUGUGAUUGAUAGCCGUGAGAUCUCGUGUAACUUACGUUUCUUGACUGCAUGUUGAGCUGCCUGUGUGAUUGAUAGCCGUGAGAUCUCGUGUAACUUACAUUUCUUGACUGCAUGUUGAAUUAGUAAGAUAGACGUUAAGAGAGGGUUUUCCGGUUACAGGGUGGAUUUGACAGGGAGGCGUUCAAGCCUACAUACCAUAUGUGGGCUUAUUUAUCAUAUAUUAUGAGCUGUAUAAUCAACGGGUUGAUUCACAAAUUUUUACACUUCACAAAAUGCACAAACUAAAUAUACACUAGAUAAUUGUCAAUUACUUUGCACAAUUCUCAGCAUCUCUAACCUGUAAGCCAAGUGUAAGACAUAUGCAACACGCCCAAAUCCAAGAUUUGGAAUGUGAUUUGAAAUUCGUUCCUCUUUAGUACUAUAUAUAAUGCCCUUGAACUAGUUAGAAUAUGGAUUUUAAAUCCAGAUUUUAAUCCUAGAUUGGAAGUAUUACAAGUCUUUAUUCUUGAAACUUGUUCGUGACAAAUACAAUGAGACCUAGCUAGGAAAUAAUAGGUGCAUGAAAAUAUCAGGGCUAAGUAUCGAAUUUGGAUUUCAAAUCCGAACAUCCACGCAUUUUUCCUUUUUGUAUGUUCAGUCUAGCACAACAUAUAUCAAUAUCUAUGGAGGAGCAGAGCGAGAACGUGGUGCCCAAAGAUAUCAUCUUCUCUCUACUCUAGUCACAUUAAAAAUAACGAAAAACAAAGGAAGUGGAUUUUGUGUCUGAUAUUUGGAAAGCUAUGUGAAAACAAGCAUGUGUAAGAAGGUUCUUUCUUUUUGGCCAAAAGCUCAUUGUAUUACAUAAAGUACUAUUUGGGUGCAGUUCUUUUUGUGAAGUAACCAAAGGACAAGGCUGAAGCAGGCAAAAUCAGAAGGUUGCUUUCUUCCGUUGAGAUUUUUUUUGGUCCUUUUGACUUUCAUGUGGCUGUUGACAACAUUUUAUUUUGUGCAGUUGGAAGAAGCUGCUUGGAAGCAAAACCAACUUACUUUCUUCCAAGGCAACAUUGACAACAUAUAAACAAUUACUUAUCCUCAUCAACUUCCAAUUUUCCUUUUUAUAUUUAUGAGAUACAUUACCAAACUAAAUGCAAUUGUCUAAGCAAAGAUUCUCCUUAUACAAUGAGAGAGUCUGUUUGACAUACUUUAUUUAUUCAUUAUUUUUAUACAUAGAAAUCUAGAUCUGAAAGUGUUAUCAAACAAAUAGUUUGAGUUGUCUUUCUGAAUAAAUGACUUUGAAUCUUCUGUAA